UGGGACUUAAUUAUUAAAGGACCUUCUUUCUUGAUGUCUUUGGGCGACGGGACAUCUUUCACUAUCAUUGGGGAGUUGUUAUACUCAAUCUUGGCCUGUCCGAGGCUAACCUUAUCCAUUACAACUGUAGUUAUCGAGUGAGAUGGACUUUGAUGUACACUAAUAAAGUCUUACUCCUUCUCAAGGCGAUGGAUCAUCUUUUACCAAGAUAGGACAGCUUAUAUUCAUUAUAUCUUUUCAAUUGUACAACAUUACUGUAUAUACUGAGAUAUUUAGCUGUUGUUUAAUUACUGUGUAGUGUGUAAACUGUAUUACCUGUAUUUUAGUGUAGUAUCAAGUUUAUUAUAACAAUAACAGUGACUAUUUAGCUAGCUAUUAGGUGUGAUGAUGGCAGUAGUGUUGUUAUUACUUAAAAGAAUGUAUUAUUAAUAAAUUAA
This 437-nucleotide long non-coding RNA is filed under the name Amphimedon queenslandica. RNAcentral describes it as "uncharacterized LOC109582023". Lineage: Eukaryota; Metazoa; Porifera; Demospongiae; Haplosclerida; Niphatidae. The record is from RNAcentral.